UUAAAUUGGGCCACGAAAGUAGCCCAACAAAACAAUAACAACAAACAGCCCAUGCCACGGCUGACCCGCCUCGGGCGCAACAACACUCUAGCUCUCAAUCACUCUAAUCAACCGAACCAGCAGCCCAAAAUCCCAAGACCCGUCCCGUUGUUUAUAUUCUUCAACUUCAAUGAACAACAGCAACUUCAUACGCGUACAACACUAAAAAGCAACAACAACAGCGAACAGCUUCAAUAUCGAUGAUAACUACUACAACAACUUCAGCCAUACUUCGACCCGCAAUCGACCCGACCUCAACCCAUUUCUCGUAUGUAUCAUGUACCCUCCCACGCGGAUCUGUACAAUGAAGAUGCUGAGAAGCUUGUAGAAAUUGCUUAGCUGGCUCUUCUAACAUUCAAAUCCACGAAUUUGAGGGAAAAUUGGUACGAAUUAGUACACAUUUCUGUGAAUUCUAUUGGUUCUUGAGGAUUAUUCCUUUUUCCGAAUUUCCAUUGAUUAAACCCAUUAAAUUUUCUUCAAAAAGUUCCAAAAAUCAGUACUAGAAUGAGGUAUAUCCUCAUUCAAAAUUCGAAUUCACCCAAUUAAAAUUCCACAAAUUACCCCUAAAAAUCCUUUGUCCCACAUCGGUGAAAGCUAAAAAUUCCUCCCAUUUUGUUUUCAAUAAAUAGUUCAUUGUGGAGCAAAUUAAGGACAAGUCUCAGGGUUUGGAAAAAGCUUUGAGCAAAAAGAAUUCAAAUUUUCGUGAAAUAUUUUCUUUUUGUUGAAAAUCGUGGGCUAAUCAAAGUUCUCGAGUUGACGGCAAUAUUUUUUAAUGGUGGCUGUGACUUCGACGGAAGCCCAAAGACCUGUUUUGCUGCCCCGAAAUAGGCAAAUUUUGGGAGAACACUCUCUAGUUCUUCUCUCAAAAGUGGGAAGUAGCAAAUGAAACAAAGUUUCAUCAUAUUCGAUCUUCAUCACUAAGAUCCUUCUGCCGGCAACUUUAGAUAAGUAUAUUUUGCUUGGAUCAUUUUAAUUUUUUUCCUUUUUUCUCUCUGGUUGCUCGACUUAUUCUUAAGUUUUCAUCUUUAAUGUUUUCUUUCUUAUUUGACAUCAUGAGUAUGUUGCUCAUGAGGUUUGUUUAGUUUAAUUCUCAACUCUAGUGUAUGUCUUAGUGCUUUUUCUUGUUCUUGUAUGUUAAUGCUUUGGUAUCUUUAUAAAAGUUUGUAUCUUGUUGCACCCCAUUUCACAAGAAACUUUCUGAAAUUUUUCUUUCAAAUUCACUCGAGAUGUCUUCUCGCGGUUUCAUUUAUUUUCUUUGUGAUGCUUUGAUCGACUUUAAGGGCUAUAAUGAACACAUUUUAGGAUUUGAUGAUUCUCCCUAGUUCAUAAUGUUAAAGAAAGAAUUGAUGGAGCCUUGGAGAUAGGCAAUGUAAUCUCACAUGCUUCUCUUCUUUUAUCCCCAAAUCUUUGUUUGCAAGUUUGUGUUUUCUUAUCAUUCUUAUCCCUGCUCACUAAGCCUCCCUCCAUGAAGUUAGUAUUGGACAUGUCUAUUCUUUAAAAUCGGUCUAUACGUUUUUAGGUAUUGAUGAUAGCUAUAAUUGCAUGACUUUACUAUGUCAAACAUGCCCAUUUUCUUUGGCCUUUCUAUAUCUUGGCUUACUGUCUUUCAUUUUUAUUUUUAUUUUGGACCAUAAUAGUUUCCUUUUGAUUUAUCAUUUUGUUAUAUUACUCCAUUAUGCAUGCAUCUUAACUUUCUUUAUGUCUUCUUUUGUAUGCGAAUUUGUUCGAAGUCCAAAUGGACUCUUCUCCUUUGGCAUUCCAUAAUGAGCCAAAUGAGGCCCAUCCCUUAUAGCUGAUCACUUUGGAUAAAAGAGUCUGUUGCUGUGGAAGAAGAAAAAUUGGUCGAAACCCAUUGAUGAAGUCGUUAAAUUUAUAUUGUUGUUUUUAUUUAUUUAUUCAUUCAUUUGGACUUCAAAAUCAAAGUUGUAAAUUAAUAUAAGUAAAGCGGUUAUGGGCUGAAAGCCCAAAGUACUAGUUUAGGACUGGUGCAAGUGGGCCAAAAGUCCAAUCGAAUAGUUUAGAACAGGUUCAUAGAUUUGGGUCCAAAUGGGUUUAGAUAUCUCAAUCUCUUCCCUCCA
This is a long non-coding RNA of Capsicum annuum, 2117 nucleotides long. RefSeq lists it as uncharacterized. The transcript has 2 exons. The record is from RefSeq and is a predicted model, not a curated record. Lineage: Eukaryota; Viridiplantae; Streptophyta; Magnoliopsida; Solanales; Solanaceae.